CAGCUGCGUUCAAUCACCUGCCACGGAGAGGAGAAGGAGCAGAAUCUGAAGGAGAACAGAGGAGAACUCAGCACACACACUUAGCAAUUUCAUGAAUGAUGAUGACAAAGCCUACAAGUUUUUUAUUUGAAUCUAACCUAUCAAAUAGCUGAAGUAGCCGAACAGGAUUGCAUCAUCAAAAUAGUGCUCUAACUGCGCGUGAACCUUCACCUCACCAGUGUGGAAACAUUUCCUCUCCCCCUGCUCCCUGUGGGUUUGAUCAAGGGAUUUAUGAGGAGUGUCAUCACGGUUCGGCAACCAGUUCUGCGGUGAUGCCUGUCCGCUAGGUUACCAUGACUACCUGACACUGAAGGCACCUCUUCAUCCAUCUGUGCUGCAGCAGUCGCUUCCACCUUGCCCGGCUCUAACCUAUCCACCCACCAUUCCUUCCAUCAGUUCUUCCCCCUGCAAUACAAGCGGCAUUCGCCCAUAGAAAGGAAGAUAAGGUCGAGGCUGCUGGCUUUUUGAAAGCACCGACACCGCAAGAGCUGAACUCAGUCGACAAAAGCGAGGGAGCGACAAGCAACGGGGG
This is a long non-coding RNA of Oreochromis aureus, 571 nucleotides long. The record is from Ensembl. NCBI's taxonomy places the organism in Eukaryota, Metazoa, Chordata, Actinopteri, Cichliformes, Cichlidae.